AUUGAACGCUGGCGGCAGGCCUAACACAUGCAAGUCGAGCGGAUGAAGGGAGCCUGCUCCUGGAUUCAGCGGCGGACGGGUGAGUAAUGCCUAGGAAUCUGCCUGGUAGUGGGGGAUAACGUCCGGAAACGGGCGCUAAUACCGCAUACGUCCUGAGGGAGAAAGUGGGGGAUCUUCGGACCUCACGCUAUCAGAUGAGCCUAGGUCGGAUUAGCUAGUUGGUGGGGUAAAGGCCUACCAAGGCGACGAUCCGUAACUGGUCUGAGAGGAUGAUCAGUCACACUGGAACUGAGACACGGUCCAGACUCCUACGGGAGGCAGCAGCGGGGAAUAUUGGACAAUGGGCGAAAGCCUGAUCCAGCCAUGCCGCGUGUGUGAAGAAGGUCUUCGGAUUGUAAAGCACUUUAAGUUGGGAGGAAGGGCAGUAAGUUAAUACCUUGCUGUUUUGACGUUACCAACAGAAUAAGCACCGGCUAACUUCGUG
RNAcentral lists this ribosomal RNA (484 nucleotides) under uncultured bacterium. Its description in RNAcentral is "partial 16S ribosomal RNA". It matches the Rfam family "Bacterial small subunit ribosomal RNA", at positions 30 to 507 of the family's 1533-position model. The record is from RNAcentral.